Myotis lucifugus (little brown bat) is the source of this 1197-nucleotide RNA transcript. It is a transcript of the gene named myeloid derived growth factor, with no coding region annotated. The record is from RefSeq and is a predicted model, not a curated record. The transcript has 7 exons. NCBI's taxonomy places the organism in Eukaryota, Metazoa, Chordata, Mammalia, Chiroptera, Vespertilionidae.
GCCGCGCCCCGUCCGCCGUCCAGGCCCUGCGGGCCCGAUCGCAAGAUGGCGGCGCCCAGCGGAAGGAGGAACGGCGGCGACGGUGCGAGCUUGUGGGCUGCGCUGCUCCUGGCGGCCGUGGCGCUGAGGCCCGCAGAAGCGGUGUCCGAGCCCACGACGGUGGCGUUUGACGUGCGGCCCGGCGGCGUCGUGCACACCUUCUCCCAGAACGUGGGCCCUGGGGACAAGUAUACGUGUGUCUUCACCUACGCUUCUCAAGGAGGGACCAACGAGAAGUGGCAGAUGAGCCUGGGGACCAGCGAAGACCACCAGCACUUCACCUGCACCAUCUGGAGGAUGAUGCUCCAACCAACUGAGCCACCCAGCCAGGGCGACACAGCACGUUUUAAUCACACUUGCAGGUGUCAUCCCACAGUCUCAGUGCUAAGCAAGCAGCAGGCCCCAGGGCAAGUCCUACCUGUACUUCACACAGUUCAAGGCAGAGGUGCGGGGUGCGGAGAUCGAGUACGGCAUGGCCUACUCUAAAGCUGCGUUUGAAAGAGAGAGUGACGUUCCCCUGAAAAAUGAGGAAUUUGAAGUGACCAAAACAGCAGUGUCCCACAGGCCCGGGGCGUUCAAGGCUGAGCUGUCCAAGCUGGUGAUCGUGGCCAAGGCAUCACGCAGUGAGCUGUGACCAGCAGCCCCCUUGAGGGCGGCUUCCUCUCAUCUCUACUGAAAGGGCGGUGCCCUGUGAGAUCGGGCACAUGUUUGGCUUUCUAGGGGGCACUGUUGGUUUUCUGCCUGGCUGAUGUUGCCCUCCUCAGACGGGUUCCAGGGUGGCUGAGGCCCUGGGACAAAGUCCAGGGGGCCAGGAGGUUGAGCGGUGCUGUGCCCCCCUCCCAGUUCCCCAUCUCCCCAGCACCACCACCACACAUCCCUGCCCCCGCUCUUCUGAACACAGAGUGUGGGUCUGAGCCCGCUGCUGCUUGUCGUACCAGAAGAGGCAUCAGCACAGUUGGGGGGCCGCAGCUUCCUAAAGCCAGCAUGUCUCCCUUGGGAUCAGGCCAGACUCCGAUGCUCCGGGGAAGAGUAGUCCUGCUGCCCUCUGACCUCAGGUUGACUGUUUUCUUACAACUUCCCCAGGAGACCACCUUCCAGACUAACUGGGAAGAAGUGAAAUGUCCUUUUGUAUUUAAAUAAAUAAGAGUUUAAAGGGAA